This 1869-nucleotide ribosomal RNA is filed under the name Triticum aestivum (bread wheat). RNAcentral describes it as "partial small subunit ribosomal RNA". The record is from RNAcentral. Lineage: Eukaryota; Viridiplantae; Streptophyta; Magnoliopsida; Poales; Poaceae.
AUGGCCUCGCAGAACACCGGGUCUGGAUCGGCAUCUUCUUUGGGCAGUCUAUUUGAUUCUGAUGAUGAAGAAAACAGUGCCCCGUCUGUGCUCUCGAUAGAAGCUAACCCUGAUACCGAGGAGCUAGAUUCUUCCUCAAAAAAGAGGUCUUAUUUACUGAGCAAGAUGAGCUUCUCGAAGCAACACGUUGAUUUGGCAGUCAGUGAGUUAGGUGAGGGAGCAUCAAUUGAUCAGCUUGUGAACUGGAUUGUGACUGCCCAAGAAGCUACAACUGAGGGAAAUGCUGAAUUUCUGCCUGCGCAAAUGGAUAAACCGCAUUCUUUGCUCCAGAUGGGGUUUACUCAACAAGAAGUCUCAAUUGCUAUUGAAGCUUUCGGUCAAGAAGCCAAAGUUGAGGAGCUCGCUGACGCAAUUCUGGCAAGACGCAUUGCAAAUAACAUUGAGCAGAAAGAAGAAACUGCUGAAUUGCUGCCUGAGGUAAUGGAUAAACCACUUUCUUUGCUCAAGAUGGGUUUCAAUAAAGAAGAGGUCUCAUCUGUGAUUGCUAUUUUCGGUGAGGAAGCAACAGUCGAGGAGUUGGCUGACUCCAUAUUCGCAAGACGCUUCUCAAAUACCACUCAGCAGAAAAAAGUGAGGAUAGAGUCUGAAUUUCCGGACGAGACAGAAACUGAGUAUUCAAUUUCGAGAUUGAGGUUCUAUGAUGAUUAUGAUGCCAACAUCAGGCGUAAAAAGGCCAAGCAUGCAUUUGGAGAUGACAGAAGGGCGUCAAGCAGUCAGAAUGUUAAUCAAUCUAGCCGCACUCCAUGGUUAAGUCGUUGUUCUGGGUCAAUUGCUAAUGGUUCUCUGAACGAUGAAUGUCUUGAAAGGACGUCAAGCCUUGGUAGAAACAUCCGUGCCGACUUUGCCAAGCCUCCUUUCUUCAUCUAUGCAAGUCUGGUUGACAUCAGCAAAGACAGUUGGAAUACGUUAUCGAGUUUCUUAUUCAAUGUUCAACCGGAGUAUCUAAACAGUCAGUCGUUCUCGGCUCUGACGCGAAGGGAGGGUUACAUUCAUAACCUUCCAACGGAGGGAAGGCACGUCACGGUUCCAAGGUCACCAAUGACGAUCAGAGAUGCAUUACCUUUGACAAGGCAGUUCUGUCCCUUCUGGGACACGAGAAAAUGGAUUGAUGGUGUUGGCUUAGAUGUGGCAGGAAAUGAACAGAUUCGUGACAAGCUGGAGAAGGCAAUGAAAGAUUCACGAGGAAUCCCUUCAGAAGUGAAGCAAGCACAGAUUGUCCAGCAAUGCAAGACGGCGAAUCUUGUCUGGAUCGGCCAAGGCAAGUUAGGCCCUCUGCAGCCACACCAGAUGGAAAUGAUACUAGGCUAUCCAGCUAACCACACAGAUCUGCCGGGCAUAGACCCACAAGACAAGGUUGCUUCUAUGAGGUUUGCCUUGCAAACUGAUACCAUAGCAUACCUUUUGUCGGUCCUAAAGGACCGGUAUCCUGAUGGGCUGAGAGUGAUCUCUAUCUACAGUGGAAUCGGGGGUGCAGAAGUCGCUCUACACCGUCUUGGAAUUCCGCUGAGGUGCGUGGUGUCCGUAGAGGAGUCUGUGGUGAACCGUAGAGUUCUAAAGAUGUGGUGGAGAAAAACCCAGCAGAACGGAAAGCUGAGACAACUGGAUAGGAUACAGAAGCUAGAUACUAAGGAGUUUGAGGCCCUGAUGAAAGAGUUUGGUGGUUUUGACCUGAUUGUUGGCGGAAAUUAUGGUCUGUACAGAGGCACAGUGAUGACAGUGGGCACGACCAUGGGUAUGGACACAAAUCGGUUCUUUGAGUAUGUCCGCAUUGUCCAGAUGGUGAGAAGAAAAAUGCAAGGAAUUGCCUGA